GCUGGGCAUGGUGGAGCACACCUGUAAUCCUAGCAACUCAGGAGGCUGAGGCAGUAGGAUUGCAAGUUUGAUUCCAGCCUCAGGAAUUUAGCAAGGCCCUAAACAACUUAGUGAGACCCUGUCUCAA
This 127-nucleotide small RNA is filed under the name Marmota monax (woodchuck). Lineage: Eukaryota; Metazoa; Chordata; Mammalia; Rodentia; Sciuridae. The record is from RNAcentral.